AACCUGAGAGGAUAGCUACUAGCUUGGGAAGGAAAUGGCAUGGUAAUGAAGAAAAAGGAUUUUGGCAUGCAAGUGUUAUGAUUUCAAAUAAAAACUGAACUCUGGGGCACAAUCCUACAUGGACUGAA
This 128-nucleotide long non-coding RNA is filed under the name Anolis carolinensis (green anole). RNAcentral's name for it is "lncRNA (ENSACAG00000041983.1)". The record is from RNAcentral. Lineage: Eukaryota; Metazoa; Chordata; Lepidosauria; Squamata; Anolidae.